This 258-nucleotide ribosomal RNA is filed under the name uncultured bacterium. RNAcentral describes it as "partial 16S ribosomal RNA". It matches the Rfam family "Bacterial small subunit ribosomal RNA", at positions 524 to 776 of the family's 1533-position model. The record is from RNAcentral.
UACGUAGGGUGCAAGCGUUAUCCGGAAUUAUUGGGCGUAAAGAGCUACGUAGGCGGUUUGUCGCGUCUGCUGUGAAAACUGGAGGCUCAACCUCCAGCCUGCAGUGGGUACGGGCAGACUAGAGUGGCGGUAGGGGAGAUCGGAAUUCCUGGUGUAGCGGUGAAAUGCGGCAGAAUAUCAGGAGGAACACCGGUGGCGAAGGCGGAUCUCUGGGCCGCAACUGGACGCUGAGACGCGAAAGCGUGGGGAGCAAACAGG